AAAAAGGGCUUCAAAUUAUACAGUUUUGGGUGUACUGCUUCAAUAUACAGGUUGUCUAAAAUAAAUAAAAAAAUAUAGCGCUUUUUAAAAAAAAAAAUUUAAAUAACCACCCACUUUAGAGGGCGCUUCCCAAAAUAAGCGCCCUCUAAACCCUUUAAGUUUCCACUUUAGAGGGCGCUUUCCAGUAAAAACGCCCUCUAAACCCUUAAAAGUUUCCACUUUAGAGGGCGCUUUCC
Molecule: long non-coding RNA, 236 nt
Filed under: Lathyrus oleraceus (garden pea)
Lineage: Eukaryota; Viridiplantae; Streptophyta; Magnoliopsida; Fabales; Fabaceae
Description: Pisum sativum (pea) long non-coding RNA (PSAT_LNC035479)
Source: RNAcentral